GAUGAACGCUGGCGGCGUGCCUAAUACAUGCAAGUCGAGCGAACAGACGAGGAGCUUGCUCCUCUGACGUUAGCGGCGGACGGGUGAGUAACACGUGGAUAACCUACCUAUAAGACUGGGAUAACUUCGGGAAACCGGAGCUAAUACCGGAUAAUAUAUUUAACCGCAUGGUUCAAUAGUGAAAGACGCUUUUGCUGUCACUUAUAGAUGGAUCCGCGCCGCAUUAGCUAGUUGGUAAGGUAACGGCUUACCAAGGCAACGAUGCGUAGCCGACCUGAGAGGGUGAUCGGCCACACUGGAACUGAGACACGGUCCAGACUCCUACGGGAGGCAGCAGUAGGGAAUCUUCCGCAAUGGGCGAAAGCCUGACGGAGCAACGCCGCGUGAGUGAUGAAGGUCUUCGGAUCGUAAAACUCUGUUAUUAGGGAAGAACAAAUGUGUAAGUAACUAUGCACGUCUUGACGGUACCUAAUCAGAAAGCCACGGCUAACUACGUG
This 497-nucleotide ribosomal RNA is filed under the name uncultured bacterium. RNAcentral describes it as "partial 16S ribosomal RNA". It matches the Rfam family "Bacterial small subunit ribosomal RNA", at positions 28 to 507 of the family's 1533-position model. The record is from RNAcentral.